UACGUAGGGAGCAAGCGUUGUUCGGAAUUACUGGGCGUAAAGGGCUCGUAGGCGGCCAACUAAGUCAGACGUGAAAUCCCUCGGCUUAACCGGGGAACGGCCUCUGAUACUGGCUGGCUGGAGUUCGGGAGAGGGAUGCGGAAUUCCUGGUGUAGCGGUGAAAUGCGCAGAUAUCAGGAGGAACACCGAUGGCGAAGGCAGUGGUCUGGGCCGGCACUGACGCUGAAUAGCGAAAGCGUGGGUAGCGAACAGG
RNAcentral lists this ribosomal RNA (253 nucleotides) under uncultured bacterium. RNAcentral describes it as "partial 16S ribosomal RNA". It matches the Rfam family "Bacterial small subunit ribosomal RNA", at positions 524 to 776 of the family's 1533-position model. The record is from RNAcentral.